This 425-nucleotide ribosomal RNA is filed under the name uncultured bacterium. RNAcentral describes it as "partial 16S ribosomal RNA". It matches the Rfam family "Bacterial small subunit ribosomal RNA", at positions 354 to 796 of the family's 1533-position model. The record is from RNAcentral.
GUGGGGAAUCUUGCGCAAUGGGCGAAAGCCUGACGCAGCCAUGCCGCGUGAAUGAUGAAGGUCUUAGGAUUGUAAAAUUCUUUCACCGGGGACGAUAAUGACGGUACCCGGAGAAGAAGCCCCGGCUAACUUCGUGCCAGCAGCCGCGGUAAUACGAAGGGGGCUAGCGUUGCUCGGAAUUACUGGGCGUAACGGGCGCGUAGGCGGACAGUUUAGUCAGAGGUGAAAGCCCAGGGCUCAACCUUGGAAUUGCCUUUGAUACUGGCUGUGUUGAGUAAGGGAGAGGUGAGUGGAACUCCGAGUGUAGAGGUGAAAUUCGUAGAUAUUCGGAAGAACACCAGUGGCAAAGGCGACUCACUGGCCCGUUACUGACGCUGAGGCGCGAAAGCGUGGGGAGCAAACAGGAUUAGAAACCCGUGUAGUCC